ACUGACUCUUCUAGCCUUUUGUUGCCCCUGUCCCAAUUUUUUUGCGAUGCAUCGCUGCCAUCAAAUUCUCAUUGAGCUCAUAUUUUAUAAAAUAGGCACAAUUUAAACAUUUCAUAUGUUUGUUUUUUCUAUUCUGUUGUUAACUGAGAUUGAGAUUUGGAGAUCAUUGCAUUCUGUUUUUAUUUACAUUUUACACAGCAUCCCAACUUUUUUGGAAUUGGAUUUGUAUGACAACCUGUAUAUGUUUGCACAUAAAACACAACACGGUUAUGGUGAUGCCACACACAAGAAGCCAGACCACCACGCGCGCCAGGUAAUGCCUCCAUAAUGUAGAUUUAUUAGAAUAUUCAGAGUAGUGCUAUAACAUCUCAUUCACUCGAGCUUUCUGUCAGUCUGUAGUUGUUGUUGACGCGUUGGUCCGUGAGACAGGCGCUCUGCAAUGAAAUGGAUCUGUAAAGCAAAAAACCAAAAACAAAGCCUACCUAAUAUUUAUAUUACUAAUUACAGAAUUUACAGUCACAAAACUUUAUGGGGCAGUUCAAAUAAAUGCACAGGUUUCUCACUGACAUAAUAAAAAUAUUAAAUACUUUUUUUUUCUUCCUCAGAAACCAGUGAGUUUCAUCAAAAUGCAAUAGAGGUGAUUUACAAGCAACUCUCGCAAGCUAAAAAAAAAAAAAAAGGAAAGAAGAAACAAAAUCUGAGUAUUAAUGCGGAUACAGUACAAAACUCCAUCUCUCAGUGUAUUGCCAGAUUACCCCACAUGUCACCUAUGGGAGAGAAACGUAUGACUCGUAAGCCUGCUAAAGACCCUAACCCGGACUGCGACCUGCUGUACAAACUCAUUUGUUCGCUUCAGUCCGGUCAGAGACGUCAGAUAUAAUCAGGCUACAAUCUGCUUUAUUCCGAACAAAGAACGGGGGAGGAAGUAGCAGCAUAUGAACUAAAAAUGGAGUCGAAACACCUUAAAGUCUCCAACUCUUUGCCUUGCAAAAGUCUGACAAACUGUUUGAUAGAUAAAGGCAUGAUGGGACGGCGAGAGUGUGGGAUUCUGGAGGACUUGAUACAGUAAAGAAGGAGGGGGGAGCGUGAGGUGAACUGGGGAUGUCUGGUCUAGACCCGGCAGGUCUAAUUGGAUUUUUGGGUGCCCCUGCUCUGCUUGGCAAAGAG
This is a long non-coding RNA of Astatotilapia calliptera (eastern happy), 1167 nucleotides long. The record is from Ensembl. Lineage: Eukaryota; Metazoa; Chordata; Actinopteri; Cichliformes; Cichlidae.